Molecule: unclassified non-coding RNA, 208 nt
Filed under: Hevea brasiliensis (rubber tree)
Lineage: Eukaryota; Viridiplantae; Streptophyta; Magnoliopsida; Malpighiales; Euphorbiaceae
Source: RNAcentral
UGAGUCAAAAACUCCCCGUUGAAAAGUCCACUUUAUGGCCGGAAUCCGUCCGGUUGAUUUCUUGAUAUUGGGCCCAAAUGGACCUUAGAGUUGGAUUAAUGAAUAAUUAGGCUUACUAACGGGUCUCGGGGGCUUUAGACUGACCCAGGUCCUAGUGCCGGUUCGACCCAUAGGUUGGAUCAUGACAUGGUUGAUGACAAGAUCCAUU